AUUGAACGCUGGCGGCAGGCCUAACACAUGCAAGUCGAGCGGAUGAAGGGAGCUUGCUCCUGGAUUCAGCGGUGGACGGGUGAGUAAUGCCUAGGAAUCUGCCUGGUCGUGGGGGAUAACGUCCGGAAACGGGCGCUAAUACCGCAUACGUCCUGAGGGAGAAAGUGGGGGAUCUUCGGACCUCACGCUAUCAGAUGAGCCUAGGUCGGUAUAGCUAGUUGGAGGGGUAACGGCCUACCAAGGCGACGAACCGUAACUGGUCUGAGAGGAUGAUCGGUCACACUGGAACUGAGACACGGCCCAGACUCCUACGGGAGGCAGCAGUGGGGAAUAUUGGACAAGGGGCGAAAGCCGGAUACAGCCAAGCCGCGGGUGGGAAGAAGGAGUUCGGAUGGGAAAGCACUUUAGGUUGGAAGGAAGGGCAGUACGUUAAUACCUGGCGGUUUUGACGGUACCAAGAGAAUAAGCACCGGCUAACUUCGUG
This 484-nucleotide ribosomal RNA is filed under the name uncultured bacterium. Its description in RNAcentral is "partial 16S ribosomal RNA". It matches the Rfam family "Bacterial small subunit ribosomal RNA", at positions 29 to 507 of the family's 1533-position model. The record is from RNAcentral.